RNAcentral lists this ribosomal RNA (2261 nucleotides) under Streptococcus pneumoniae. Its description in RNAcentral is "bacterial LSU rRNA". It matches the Rfam family "Bacterial large subunit ribosomal RNA", at positions 3 to 2287 of the family's 2925-position model. The record is from RNAcentral. Lineage: Bacteria; Bacillati; Bacillota; Bacilli; Lactobacillales; Streptococcaceae.
UUAAGUUAAUAAGGGCGCACGGUGGAUGCCUUGGCACUAGGAGCCGACGAAGGACGUGACAAACGACGAUAUGCCUUGGGUAGCUGUAAGUAAGCGAUGAUCCAGGGAUUUCCGAAUGGGGGAACCCAACAGGUAAUACCUGUUACCCACAUCUGUUAAGGAUGUGAGGAGGAAGACGCAGUGAACUGAAACAUCUAAGUAGCUGCAGGAAGAGAAAGCAAAAGCGAUUGCCUUAGUAGCGGCGAGCGAAACGGCAGAAGGGCAAACCGAAGAGUUUACUCUUCGGGGUUGUAGGACUGCAAUGUGGACUCAAAGAUUAUAGAAGAAUGAUUUGGGAAGAUCAGCCAAAGAGAGUAAUAGCCUCGUAUUUAAAAUAGUCUUUGUACCUAGCAGUAUCCUGAGUACGGCGGGACACGUGAAAUCCCGUCGGAAUCUGGGAGGACCAUCUCCCAACCCUAAAUACUCCCUAGUGACCGAUAGUGAACCAGUACCGUGAGGGAAAGGUGAAAAGCACCCCGGGAGGGGAGUGAAAUAGAACCUGAAACCGUGUGCCUACAACAAGUUCGAGCCCGUUAAUGGGUGAGAGCGUGCCUUUUGUAGAAUGAACCGGCGAGUUACGUUAUGAUGCGAGGUUAAGUUGAAGAGACGGAGCCGUAGGGAAACCGAGUCUGAAUAGGGCGCCUUAGUAUCAUGACGUAGACCCGAAACCAUGUGACCUACCCAUGAGCAGGUUGAAGGUGCGGUAAGACGCACUGGAGGACCGAACCAGGGCACGUUGAAAAGUGCUUGGAUGACUUGUGGGUAGCGGAGAAAUUCCAAACGAACUUGGAGAUAGCUGGUUCUCUCCGAAAUAGCUUUAGGGCUAGCGUCGACAUUAGAGAUUCUUGGAGGUAGAGCACUGUUUGGGUGAGGGGUCCAUCCCGGAUUACCAAUCUCAGAUAAACUCCGAAUGCCAAUGAAUUAUGGUCGGCAGUCAGACUGCGAGUGCUAAGAUCCGUAGUCGAAAGGGAAACAGCCCAGACCACCAGCUAAGGUCCCAAAAUAAUUGUUAAGUGGAAAAGGAUGUGGGGUUGCACAGACAACUAGGAUGUUAGCUUAGAAGCAGCUAUUCAUUCAAAGAGUGCGUAAUAGCUCACUAGUCGAGUGACCCUGCGCCGAAAAUGUACCGGGGCUAAAACAAUUUACCGAAGCUGUGGAUACCUUUAUAGGUAUGGUAGGAGAGCGUUCUAUGUGUGAUGAAGGUAUACCGUGAGGAGUGCUGGAACGCAUAGAAGUGAGAAUGCCGGUAUGAGUAGCGAAAGACAGGUGAGAAUCCUGUCCACCGUAAGACUAAGGUUUCCAGGGGAAGGCUCGUCCGCCCUGGGUUAGUCGGGACCUAAGGAGAGACCGAAAGGUGUAUCCGAUGGACAACAGGUUGAUAUUCCUGUACUAGAGUAUGUAGUGAUGGAGGGACGCAGUAGGCUAACUAAAGCAGACGAUUGGAAGAGUCUGUCUAAGCAGUGAGGUGUGAUAUGAGUCAAAUGCUUAUAUCUGUAACAUUGAGCUGUGAUGGGGAGCGAAGUUUAGUAGCGAAGUUAGUGACGUCACACUGCCAAGAAAAGCUUCUAGCGUUUAAACAUACUCUACCCGUACCGCAAACCGACACAGGUAGUCGAGGCGAGUAGCCUCAGGUGAGCGAGAGAACUCUCGUUAAGGAACUCGGCAAAAUGACCCCGUAACUUCGGGAGAAGGGGUGCUGACUUUAAGUCAGCCGCAGUGAAUAGGCCCAAGCAACUGUUUAUCAAAAACACAGCUCUCUGCUAAAUCGUAAGAUGAUGUAUAGGGGGUGACGCCUGCCCGGUGCUGGAAGGUUAAGAGGAGUGCUUAGCGUAAGCGAAGGUAUGAAUUGAAGCCCCAGUAAACGGCGGCCGUAACUAUAACGGUCCUAAGGUAGCGAAAUUCCUUGUCGGGUAAGUUCCGACCCGCACGAAAGGCGUAAUGAUUUGGGCACUGUCUCAACGAGAGACUCGGUGAAAUUUUAGUACCUGUGAAGAUGCAGGUUACCCGCGACAGGACGGAAAGACCCCAUGGAGCUUUACUGCAGUUUGAUAUUGAGUGUCUGUACCACAUGUACAGGAUAGGUAGGAGUCUAAGAGAUCGGGACGCCAGUUUCGAAGGAGACGCUGUUGGGAUACUACCCUUGUGUUAUGGCCACUCUAACCCAGAUAGGUGAUCCCUAUCGGAGACAGUGUCUGACGGGCAGUUUGACUGGGGCGGUCGCC